UAGUCGGAGAGUUUGAUCCCGGCUCAGGAUAAACGCUGGCGGUGUGCUUAAUGCAUGCAAGUCGAACGGUCCUUCGGGACAGUGGCGAACGGGUGAGUAACGCGUAAGUAACCUGCCCCUAAGUGGGGGAUAACUUCGGGAAACUGGAGCUAAUACCGCAUGUGGUCCUUCUGCAAAAGCGGAAGGACUAAAGCCUUCGGGUGCUUGGGGAGUGGCUUGCGUCCGAUUAGCUUGUUGGUGAGGUAAUGGCCCACCAAGGCAAUGAUCGGUAGCUGGUCUGAGAGGAUAACCAGCCACACUGGGACUGAGACACGGCCCAGACUCCUACGGGAGGCAGCAGCAAGGAAUAUUGUGCAAUGGGCGAAAGCCUGACACAGCGACACCGCGUGGGGGAUGAAGGCCCUCGGGUUGUAAACCCCUUUUCUCAGGGAAGAAUAAUGACGGUACCUGAGGAAUAAGUCUCGGCUAACUACGUGCCAGCAGCCGCGGUAAUACGUAGGAGGCAAGCGUUAUCCGGAUUUAUUGGGCGUAAAGCGCGUGUAGGUGGCUCUUCAAGUCGGAUGAAAAAUCUCCCGGCUCAACUGGGAGGGACCAUUCGAUACUGCUGGGCUAGAGUGCAGCAGAGGGAGGUGGAAUUCCCGGU
Molecule: ribosomal RNA, 643 nt
Filed under: Chloroflexota bacterium
Lineage: Bacteria; Bacillati; Chloroflexota
Description: bacterial SSU rRNA
Rfam family: Bacterial small subunit ribosomal RNA
Source: RNAcentral